RNAcentral lists this long non-coding RNA (1957 nucleotides) under Fukomys damarensis (Damara mole-rat). RNAcentral describes it as "lncRNA (ENSFDAG00000021682.1)". Lineage: Eukaryota; Metazoa; Chordata; Mammalia; Rodentia; Bathyergidae. The record is from RNAcentral.
AUAAUAUCCUCUAAGUGCCUUUCCCAGUUUCUGCCUACUUGUUCAGUCUAUUCACAAUUCAAAUCAUGAAAUACAAAUUUUUUUCUGGGGGCCAUGUCUUCAGUUACUGCUAUCCAGGAUUAAAGUCUGCUUUUAAAUUAUAACACACACAGUGUCAGGCAUAUGUAAGUCUAGCUACUGAGGAUGCAGAUGCAGGAGGAUCCCCAGAACACAAGAGUAUGGACCAAAAAAAAAAAAGAGAGAGAGAGAAAGCAAUUAAGACACUGAAAGACCUAAUCCAUUUGAACAUGUAUUUACAGAUAGAAACCAAGUUCAGAUACCAAGAACUUAGUGAAUAAGAGUCACUUCUUAAAUCUGUGAUAAUCAGGAGUUGUGGUGCACAUCUGUAAUCCCAGCACUUGGGAGGAUGAGGCAGGAGGAUCACUGUGAAUUUGAGGUCAGCCUGAGUUACAUAGUGAGACCUUGUCUCUAAAAUAAAACAACAUAAAAUAAAAUAAAGUAAAAUCUAUGAAGAAAAACUACAUUAAAAUUUUGAAGAUGUAAAUUAAGGAAUUAAGAAAAACAGCCUACAGGACUCAGCCAUUCUAAGAUACAGAUUCUUUAUCAAGGAACAGAGCAAAUGGCCUAUAAAUGGCGUAAUGAAAGUGACUGUGAUUUGCGACAAUUAAUGAAAAGCAAGAAUUCUCAUAUUUAAGAAACACAGUCAAUUGUACAGAAAAGGUAAAAAAUAAAUCUAAUCUAGAUACUCCAUUGGAGCUACAGGGCUACUCCCUUCCCUGAACCCCAACCGAACAAAUCCCUGAGGUCACAUGCCCUGUCUUGUCCUAGGGCUUACUACAAGGAGGAAGAGACAAGAAAAGCAAAGACCUUCCAACCCUGCCCUGGAAAAUUCCGGAAUCCCAAACAGUGACCUGUGCACAGCAAAUCCUCCGGUGCCUUCCAUUGUCAGCUGGUUCCACGUGAUAGGCAGAAAACAUGCUACAUACUUCUCAGGUGUGUGCAAAUCCUCACUGGAUGGCCAGUAAUACGGAGCUCACCAGGGAGACGGACUGUGCAACAGAGGUGAACAGCCCUGAAGCCCAGGCAUCCGGAGCACUAACAGCAGAAAGGGCACUGAAGCUCAGAGCCUGACCCAGUAGCAAAGCCUCCCGUGCUGGAUCUGAAAGAUAAUAUGCCUCAGCUGUCAACAACACCCUGCUUUCUAACCUGUUCUUAAUCCACCCCUCCAGGAUGAUUAUUUCAAACUUAACCCUGCACACAAGCAUCAGAACAGGUCUAAGUCAGCCUGGCAAAAUCCAGCAACAUCACGUUGACCCAACGGUUGCAUAAGAAAUAAAAAGCUUGGUUUCCUGUGCCGUGUGCUCCUUUGGUCACGGUUGUUUUGCUCCAUAUUGCUCCUUUUAUCAUUGUUAAUACAUGUGGCAAAACCAACCUUCAAACUUAAGUUGGAUCUCUUUGCUCAGCUAUUCUAUUGUGCUAUGAGGCAGGAAAGUCUUAUGCAGUUUUAUGGAAAAUGUGAUUUUCAACUUAAUAAACAAAUCUCAAAGGAACCAGAAAGGAAACUUUGGAUUCAUCACACGCAUCCUGUGUGUGCUUGAGAGACUCUGUUUGAUGGUGGCAAAUUUCCUUCUCAGAAACACCCUACACAAAGCUGAAAGUCCAGAAAUGUCUUCUGGACCAGCCUUGUGGUAAAGAGCUAAAGCCAAAUGAAGGACAAAUGAACUAAGAUGGACUUCCCAAGUGACAAAAUGAGAGAAUUCAAACAAAUGUACAACGAGGGUCAAACCUUGGAUUUCAAAACUCAAAUACAUAAUAAACACUUCACAGGGGAGAGGGGAAGGUCAGAACUGCCACAGAAUAUAACCUACUGAGUCAGAUAGAUUGACUUUCUAAGUGUAUGAUACAAUUCUGUCAGAACUGUAUGAAAUCUAAAUCUUUUCAUGCACACAGUCCCCAG